CAAGAUAGUGAUAUUAAGCAAAACCCAAAAAGCAGUCUCAGUUCGGAUUGAAGGCUGAAAUUCGCCUUCAUGAAGCCGGAAUUGCUAGUAAUGGCAGGUCAGCAUACUGCCGUGAAUACGUUCCCGGGUCUUGUACACACCGCCCGUCACACCAUGGGAGUCGGAAAUGCCCGAAGUCUGUGACCCAACCGUAAGGAGGGAGCAGCCGAAGGCAGGUCGGAUGACUGGGGUGAAGUCGUAACAAGGUACC
RNAcentral lists this ribosomal RNA (250 nucleotides) under uncultured bacterium. RNAcentral describes it as "partial 16S ribosomal RNA". It matches the Rfam family "Bacterial small subunit ribosomal RNA", at positions 1250 to 1500 of the family's 1533-position model. The record is from RNAcentral.